Molecule: long non-coding RNA, 5715 nt
Filed under: Sus scrofa (pig)
Lineage: Eukaryota; Metazoa; Chordata; Mammalia; Artiodactyla; Suidae
Description: lncRNA (ENSSSCG00000060762.1)
Source: RNAcentral
ACCCAUCAAGAUUGUAAGACAGUGUUGUGGGACCAGUCAAAAUUGAACAUCAUAACUAUAUAGUGAUACCACUCUAUAUGAGUUAUUUUCUCUAACAGCCCUGGAGAGGUCUCAGGAUAGGACAAAACCAGACAAAUAAUUGCAGUGACCCCGUGUUGGGAUUUUUUUUUUUAAAAUAUAUGUACUAUUUAAUCAUAUUUGCAGAAGAAUAGUUGAAGAUCAUAGAAAAUAGUCCAACUAAGGAAAAGAAGAAAGACAGAGAUAAGGAUUGAAUGGAGAUUAAUGACCGAAGUCAAAGGAUUAGAGGCUGAAGAACAGUGUGAGUAUCCAAAUUAGACCACUGUGGUAAUCAGAAAUGAUAGUCUAAGAAUGAGACUAUGAAGCUGCUGUUUCAGAGCGGACCAUUUCUGGAUAAUGCUGAAGUAAGGGUUCUGAUGAUGAAGAUGAAGUUUCUGAAGUACAUUGAUAUUGAACACUCCUAGUAUUGAAAACACCAAGCAAAUGACAGAUCAGGGUGUGGAACAGUUUAUCCACUGGAUUGUUGAAACAAUGUAUAUGGUAAUUGUCUCUGAGUGGUUGUCUCAGAGUAGAAAGGAAGACAAUGAAUGAAGUGCAAAAUUCUCUGCAGCAAACCAUGUACAAGAGCAGGAAGUUAGCAGAGGCUGCCUCCUGGCUUUCAUGGGCCUGGGCAUUAUUAUCUUCAUAAUCCCUUCCUCCAUUAAAAAUAAAUACAUAAAAAUUAUAGUUGACAGCUUCUUUGGUUUAAUGACAAACAUUUUCAAGACACAUCGAGACGUUUUCAAUCUAACGUUUCAUUCAUAUUUUCCUUCUGCUUUUAAUAGAAAUUACAACAUUUCUGUGGGCCUCUAAAAUUAUUGUGGGCCUAGUCGCCAUGUUUAAUAGAUAAGCUGGUGCUGAACGUAACAGAAGAAAUAUGAAUCAAAUGCAACAUCAAACUUAGAUUAUGAGACAAGACUGUGAAACAAAUUAUAACUAUAGUCCCUAUGUCGAAAUGUUAGUGGAAACAUAGGAGAUAUAGAAAGGACCUGAAUCAAACAUACAGUGUUAAAAUAUAUACUAGAUGUGAUACAGAUAUACUGUAGGUAUAAAUGAAUAGGACUUCAGGAAUGUUAGCCUAUCUUUUCCCUAAAAAGCAACAGUAAACUGGAAACAAUGUUCAAAAAACUACCCUACCUGAAAUCUAGAAGUUGCACAAAACCAUUCCUCAUACAAAGGAGAGGUAUUUACUUAAGGAAUACGGCUAGAAGCCUCCAGGUUUCUAUUGCACUUGGAAGGCUCUUUGAAAUCAGUACUCUGCCCCAACAACAGAUGUAAAACUGAACAGACUAAAAACUGACAACUCUUCUUUAAUUUGUAAGGGAGGGGAGGAAACAGAACCAACUACAGCCCUGCUGCCAGGAUGAAGAGAGAGGGAAUACAGGGAGUUGUGGUUUACCGGAGCACAGGCUCACCUCGGGGAUCAGCCUGGGUAUGCAGGGCCGGGAAACUGAAAUUAGACUGCCGGAUGCGCAGCAUGAGAGAUUAAAAACUCCAGGGGGACCUAGUAGCCCCUAGUAUUGUGAGGUUCAUCUUCAGGAACAUGACCAGGAGCUCAGAGAAUAUGGGAGAAAAAUCCCUUCAUGCUUCAGGUUAAGUGAGGGGGAAAGGAAUAGCAUUGAACCCUGCUUAGAACAAUGGGAUCUCAUGAUAUUUUAACAGGGGUCUGCUGCUCAUCAGCCACUGAGCAAAAUCGCUGGGCAGUUCCACCAGGGCUGUGCAGGCCAAGAGUACUUGCAGUUCUGCUGUUGAGGGGAUGAUCUGAUUGAGAGAAUAGGAAAAUCACCAUGCCCAGGGGAAUUUGUCAAAAAGAAUGGCAACCCCAGGGCAAUCAAUCAGGGAAAGGCAACAAACACUUCAGCUGUCUCAAGUUGUAAGGCCCAUCAGGUCAAGCAUUUGUAAAUGUAAAAACAUAUACUCAGACAAGCCAAAAAUAUAAUAGGGAAAUCUGGAUAAGGAGACACACCCAGUGGGCCUUGAUAAGCUCAGAGCUAUCCCUGGUGCUCUGGAAGUCUGAGCACAAUGUACAAGGCAGCAUACAGAUGCUUCAGAGAGACUGGAUCAACACGCAGCUUUGUAGGAGCAGAAAGUAAAAGCUUGGGUAGACUUCUAAACUGCCUGAAAUUUAAAUACGUUCCCCAAACCACACACAGAGCCAUCACAAAGAUUGGAAGUCUUACUGGCUCAAAGUUCUUAUGCACGACCUCUGACCAAUCUUCAGCCAGUCUCUAAAUUAUAAUUCUCUAGGAGCGAUCCUUAGGAAGCCAGACUUAAAAACAAAAACAAAGGAGUUCCCACUGCAGCUCAGUGGUAAACCCAAUUAGUAUCCAUGAGGAUGCGGGUUCCAUCCCAGGCCUUACUCAGUGGGUUAAAGGCUGCAGCUUUACCGUGAGCUGUGGUAUAGGUCACAGACCGCAAACGUGGCUGGGAUCCCAAGUUGCUGUGGCUGUGGUGUACGCUGGUAGCUGUAGCUCUGAUUCAACCCCUAGACUGGGAACUUCCAUACGCUGCUGGUGUUGCCCUAAAAUAUAAAUAAAUAAAUAAAUAAAAAUAAAAAUAAAAACAAGAAUUAAAAACAAGUAAACGAAAAGAACAAGCAGCAACAUCACUGGCCUCACUCUGCAGAAGAGAGAUACUAUUAGUCCACACAAGUCACUAAACAAAUUAACAGACAAGCAAACCAACAACAACCCUCAGUGGCAUCAUAAGCCAGAAUUGAUUCAACAUACCUAAACAUUGUUUUCACUUACAUCAACACCACCAAAAUUAUAAGACAGCCAAAAAGAAACAGGAAAGUGACCCAUACAGAUAGGAUAACAAAACCCAAUAAAACUGCUUCUGUGAGGGACCAGAUGUUGACAUUAGCAAGCAAAGACUUCAAAGGAACUAUUAUAAAAAUGUUCACAGAGUUAAAGUCAUGCUUAGAAAAUCAAAUUAAGUCAUGACAACAGAGACUCAACAAUUACAGAAUAUCAAUAAGAAUACAGAAAGUUUAAAAAGCACCAAAUAGAAAUCACAAUAGGUAUUAAAAUUACAAUAACAAAAAUGAAAAUAAUCACUAAAGGAGUUCAAAAGAAGACCUAUACUUGCAGAAGAGAUGAUUUGCAAACUUGGGUCUAUAUUAACAGAAAUACCCAAUGUAAAGAACAGAAAGAAAAAAGAAUAACAAAAAAUGAGCAGAGCUUUAGAAAUACAUGGGAGUAGCAGAAAGGUAAAAGAAAAAGGGGGGGAGAAGAAAAUAAUGGCUGAAAUAAUCCCCCAAUGUUUUUAAAGAUGGGAUGGCUGGUUUUAUAUGACCUACACUUCCUCAUCCUCUUGUUGCCACCAAACAUAAAACUAGAGUCAAUUCCAGUGUCAUCCAGAGAAAUGAGCUCCUAUUUCUGAACCCGCAGAGAGAGUGUAUGCACUCUAUUGCAUUCAGUAAAUUCAUAACAGCAGAAACGUGGAGAAUAGUUCAUGAAUGGGUUCUCAGAAGGUUAGCCACAGAAUAAUGCAAUGAAAUGUUAGAAUAGGUUGAAUUUAUUGUUUGGGGUAUAAUGAUUAAUGAUUGUGGACUUAAAAGACUAGCUUUGAUAGUUGGAGGUAACAAUUUGAAAAACUGACAGAAACUUUAUCUUAAAUUUUAUUGGCUUAGAUUCAAUUAGAUUGAAAUAUUAAAAGUAUCCUAGAAAAAUUGAAGAGGAAAACUCCCAAGGAUUUAGAAAGAUGGGAAUACUCAGUGUAUUUAUCAUGUUUUACUUGCAAAAUCACCUGCCUGAUACAUCCUCUAGCAGGUCAAGAGUAUAUUAACUUCACUAAGGCUUAAGCUGCUUUAAUGAGGACUGCAACAUCAUCCUCAUAAACUCCAUUGUGUUUGGUGUGUAGACUGUAAAUGAUGUUGAGAAAUGGCAUCACUGAGCUGGGGUAUAAUCAUAUCCAGAGCAACAGAUACCAAUUGUUAAUACUUAAUAAUAAGAGACAAAACAUUCAUAAAUACCAAAUAGGCAGCAAGAAUUAAGUAGCAAUAAUAAUAUUUGUUUGACACAAUCUUUGCAGUGGUCAAUUAAUGAUAGACUGUUAGAAAUAAAAUAUGAGGUCAAUAUACUAAAAUAUUACUUGGUACAGAUUAUAGAAAAAAAUUCAUGUUAAAGAGAAGAUUUAUUUGUAUUGUCACAAGAGAAAGUAAUAAACUCUUAAGAAAUUCCAAACUUUCUUUUCCAUAACCACAACAGGCAAAUGAGCCUCCCAACAUUCGCUCCUGGACCAAUGGCUUGAGAGCCAUUUUAUUUAUUUACCAUACAUUCUGGCCAAACUCUGUCUACACCUGCUGCUCAGAUGUACUUAUUGCACCCCUUUCACUCAGAAAAAAGUGUCUGGUUGUGCACAAUAAAUUAAAAUGUUCAUCCAAUGUAUUAUAGCAUGAAUAAUGCUGUAAAUUACUCUUAUCAAGAUAAUUAACCAAACUAAUAACAUAUAUCUUAGGGAAUUGCAAACAUUAGGGCCACAGUUACAGGCUUGGAAGAUAUAAAGAUCCCCACCACACCCCCAUUUACUUGGCGGUAUUUCUUAUGUAAAAGGCAGAUGAAUCAACAAUACAUUGUGGAAUAUAAUCAUCUUAAUCGGAUGGCAGAUUUCAUUGCAGAUUUUCUCCAGAUAUGUUAUCUCACAUGGAACAAAUGUUCGCUAGCAUUUGGUUUUCAGCUACUGAUCUGGCAAAUGCCUCUUCUCCUUUAUGCCAAUUUGCAUGCAUUACCAUGAACUGUUUGCUAUCAACCAACAGGGAUAAACAGUAAGAUUUCAAGAUCUUGCCUUAGGACCACUCCAGCUUUCCUACUGUUUUCCAUAAUCAGUCCAUUGCUUUUUGAUGUCUAAUCUGUGGAUUUAUUAGUCUGUAAUAACAUAAGUAAAAGCUUACUUUCAACAUAUGCACUUAUCUCAUUGUGGGAUAGUAACACAGAGUUUUCAAAUCAGCACUAGACAAUGGACCUUACUUUGAGUAUCACUGAUCAAGUUCACCAAGAGCUUAAUGUAAUCCAUGGAAAAUCACAGUGGUCAAUCAUGCUAACUGGACCUAAAACAAGAAAACAAACAAAGCAAAACAAAACCUAGUAAAUCUAUAACUGAACAGGACCCUCUAGGGCCUUCCCUGGACAGGCCCUAAGCUGAUAUCCUCUGCUUUAGCUCCUCUCUGAAGUAUAAUAUGUAUCUUGUCAGAGGUUUACAGUAACAGUGUGACUUGACCUCUGUGGACAGCUACAAGAACAAAGGAUUUAUAUACCAAGAAUUUUGCAACAACCAAUCCCACACUUCCCUCACCUUGACUUUAAAAAUACUUAGCAAUUUUUGAGUUGGGGAGUUUGGGGGAGUUUGAGAUAUUUGGGGGUGGGGGAGGCAUGAGCCACACAUCUCCUUGCAUGGCCCUGCCAUAAAUUUUCUCCACUCCAAACUUUGACAUUUCAGUUUGUUUAGCCUCACUAUGUCUCAGGCAUGCAGACUUGUGCUAACAUGUCUAUAAAAUGCAUAUGUCUUACCAAUGGCAUGCAUCUCAGAAAAUAGGAAAGAAGCCCAUUAACAAUAAGGGUCAUGAAUUCAAGACCCUGGUAAAAUUUCUGUCCAAAGGUCUUUAUAGGAUAGACAGUCUAAAACAAAAUACGAUUUGCUAUAUCUUGCACUGACAAU